This 241-nucleotide ribosomal RNA is filed under the name uncultured Pichia. Its description in RNAcentral is "partial 26S ribosomal RNA". It matches the Rfam family "Eukaryotic large subunit ribosomal RNA", at positions 37 to 282 of the family's 3401-position model. The record is from RNAcentral. Lineage: Eukaryota; Fungi; Ascomycota; Saccharomycetes; Saccharomycetales; Saccharomycetaceae.
UGCAUAUCAAUAAGCGGAGGAAAAGAAACCAACAGGGAUUGCCUCAGUAGCGGCGAGUGAAGCGGCAAGAGCUCAGAUCUGAAAUCGUGCUUUGCGGCACGAGUUGUGGAUUGCAGGUUGGAGUCUGUGUGGAAGGCGGUGUCCAAGUCCCUUGGAACAGGGCGCCCAGGAGGGUGAGAGCCCCGUGGGAUGCCGGCGGAAGCAGUGAGGCCCUUCUGACGAGUCGAGUUGUUUGGGAAUA